This 566-nucleotide ribosomal RNA is filed under the name uncultured bacterium. Its description in RNAcentral is "partial 16S ribosomal RNA". It matches the Rfam family "Bacterial small subunit ribosomal RNA", at positions 355 to 912 of the family's 1533-position model. The record is from RNAcentral.
UGGGGAAUAUUGCACAAUGGGCGCAAGCCUGAUGCAGCCAUGCCGCGUGUGUGGAGAAGGCCUUCGGGUUGUAAAGCACUUUCAGCGAGGAGGAAGGUGGUGAACUUAAUACGUUCAUCAAUUGACGUUACUCGCAGAAGAAGCACCGGCUAACUCCGUGCCAGCAGCCGCGGUAAUACGGAGGGUGCAAGCGUUAAUCGGAAUUACUGGGCGUAAAGCGCACGCAGGCGGUUUGUUAAGUCAGAUGUGAAAUCCCCGGGCUCAACCUGGGAACUGCAUUUGAAACUGGCAAGCUAGAGUCUCGUAGAGGGGGGUAGAAUUCCAGGUGUAGCGGUGAAAUGCGUAGAGAUCUGGAGGAAUACCGGUGGCGAAGGCGGCCCCCUGGACGAAGACUGACGCUCAGGUGCGAAAGCGUGGGGCAGCAAACAGGAUUAGAUACCCUGGUAGUCCACGCUGUAAACGAUGUCGAUUUGGAGGUUGUGCCCUUGAGGCGUGGCUUCCGGAGCUAACGCGUUAAAUCGACCGCCUGGGGAGUACGGCCGCAAGGUUAAAACUCAAAGGAAUUG